Triticum aestivum (bread wheat) is the source of this 125-nucleotide non-coding RNA. The record is from Rfam. NCBI's taxonomy places the organism in Eukaryota, Viridiplantae, Streptophyta, Magnoliopsida, Poales, Poaceae.
AUACAACUCCCUCCAUCUGGAAUUACUUGUCGCAGUAAUGGAUGGAAAUGGAUGUAUCUAGAACUAAAAUACAUCAAGAUACAUCCAUUUCAGCGACAAGUAAUUCCGGACGGAGGGAGUAUGUU